RNAcentral lists this ribosomal RNA (544 nucleotides) under uncultured Actinomycetes bacterium. RNAcentral's name for it is "bacterial SSU rRNA". It matches the Rfam family "Bacterial small subunit ribosomal RNA", at positions 775 to 1317 of the family's 1533-position model. Lineage: Bacteria; Bacillati; Actinomycetota; Actinomycetes. The record is from RNAcentral.
GGAUUAGAUACCCCUGGUAGUCCCUAGCCGUAAACGUUGGGUGCUAGGUGUGGGCGGAUAUCGACCCCGUCCGUGCCGAAGCUAACGCAUUAAGCCACCCCGCCUGGGGAGUACGGCCGCAAGGCUAAAACUCAAAGGAAUUGACGGGGCCCCGCACAAGCGGCGGAGCAUGCGGCUUAAUUCGAUGCAACGCGAAGAACCUUACCUGGGUUUGACAUGCAGGGUGAAACCCGUGAAAGCGGGCGCUCUUCGGAGCCUGCACAGGUGGUGCAUGGCUGUCGUCAGCUCGUGCCGUGAGGUGUUGCCUUAAGUGGCGCAACGAGCGCAACCCCUGUCCUUAGUUGCCAGCGGAUCAUGCCGGGAACUCUAGGGAGACUGCCGGUGCCAAACCGGAGGAAGGUGGGGAUGACGUCAAGUCAGCAUGCCCCUUAUACCCAGGGCUGCACGCAUGCUACAAUGCGCGAUACAGAGGGCUGCGAUCCCGUAAGGGGGAGCGAAUCCCAAAAAGUCGCGCUCAGUUCGGAUCGAGGUCUGCAACCCGACC